Molecule: ribosomal RNA, 700 nt
Filed under: uncultured bacterium
Lineage: Bacteria
Description: bacterial SSU rRNA
Rfam family: Bacterial small subunit ribosomal RNA
Source: RNAcentral
AGAGUUUGAUCCUGGCUCAGGAUGAACGCUGGCGGCGUGCCUAAUACAUGCAAGUCGAGCGAACCACUUCGGUGGUGAGCGGCGAACGGGUGAGUAACACGUAGGUCAUCUGCCCAUCAGACGGGGACAACGAUUGGAAACGAUCGCUAAUAGCGGAUAGGACGAAAGUUUAAAGGUGCUCUUGGCACCGCUGAUGGAUGAGCGUGCGGCGCAUUAGCUAGUUGGUAGGGUAAAGGCCUACCAAGGCGACGAUGCGUAGCCGACCUGAGAGGGUGAACGGCCACACUGGGACUGAGACACGGCCCAGACUCCUACGGGAGGCAGCAGUAGGGAAUCUUCGGCAAUGGGCGAAGGCCUGACCGAGCAACGCCGCGUGAAUGAUGAAGGCCUUCGGGUUGUAAAAUUCUGUUAUAAGGGAAGAACGACUUUAGUAGGAAAUGGCUAAAGUGUGACGGUACCUUAUGAGAAAGCCACGGCUAACUACGUGCCAGCAGCCGCGGUAAUACGUAGGUGGCAAGCGUUAUCCGGAAUUAUUGGGCGUAAAGAGCGCGCAGGUGGUUGAUUAAGUCUGAUGUGAAAGCCCACGGCUUAACCGUGGAGGGUCAUUGGAAACUGGUCGACUUGAGUGCAGAAGAGGGAAGUGGAAUUCCAUGUGUAGCGGUGAAAUGCGUAGAGAUAUGGAGGAACACCAGUGGCGAAG